UUUGGGUAAAAUGACCAAAAUAUCCUUAGUAUUUAAAAUUUUAUAAAAGAAAUAAAGUAACAAUCUUUUGAUAUUUUAGUUGAUGAUUUGAUAGAAGAUUGAUUGGUGAUUGGAUAAUCCAAAUAAACCACAUCAAACAUGCCCCCUAGUAUAAACCAGAUUCAGCCUGUAAUGUAUGGAAUUUUUAUCAUGGUUAUUAUUAUGUCCUGGAAACCUAGAUUUCCGGAAGCGAGAUCGGGACGAUGACCGUCGUGGGCCACCAAUCAUCAACAAAAGAAGAUCAGAUCACGAGUCCAAAAGAAAUCCUGAUUCUGAAACUAGGCCGGAGAAGAAUCCGCGAUUUCGUGAUAAGGGUGACUCUGAUGAGGAUUAGGAGGUAGAUGAUCAUAAGAGGCGACAUUAGAUGAUGAUGAUAGUGAUUUUCUACUUUAAAAUUGGAUUUGCUGAAACCAGAUUAAAAUGCAUGUUUAUUUAUUGCUUCA
Molecule: long non-coding RNA, 482 nt
Organism: Impatiens glandulifera
Lineage: Eukaryota; Viridiplantae; Streptophyta; Magnoliopsida; Ericales; Balsaminaceae
Exons: 2
Source: RefSeq, a predicted model, not a curated record